Dromaius novaehollandiae (emu) is the source of this 8850-nucleotide long non-coding RNA. RefSeq lists it as uncharacterized. NCBI's taxonomy places the organism in Eukaryota, Metazoa, Chordata, Aves, Casuariiformes, Dromaiidae. The transcript has 5 exons. The record is from RefSeq and is a predicted model, not a curated record.
AACUCAGCAGGGAAUUUUUAAGUUAUUUUCUUUGCUUUGCCAUCCUUUCCUUCCCUUCCCCACUCUUGACCCCCUGUCCCCAACUUGAGUGAUAGGGGAUUUUUUAAUGCAUUAUUUUAGAGUGCAGUCAAGUCAGGAACAUACCUGUAUCUCCCCUUGAGUUCAGUGAGAACUAUGUGCCUAGUACUAAAGUACAGAAUGUGGGUCAAUGUCCAUUCUGUAACUCAUUUCUCUAUAAAUUAGACUGCAACCCCCCUGGGAAUAAAGGAUUAACUUAUGUUUGUGCUUGGUCUUGAGCAUGUUGUCAGCUCUCAAUAAAAAGAAGUCUGUGGUUCAUUCUACCCAGUGUAACUCUAGAGUACAUUGGAUUGGACAAAAGAGUGAAUACUCGGAUCCCAAAUCCAAAGGAAAGAACCUGCCAGAGCUCCAACUUCAGACCAAUUUAGAAGGUAAUUAACUAUUCCCAGAUCCCAGAGCUAUUCUGAGAGGAAAGUGCACCACGUAAAAUUGUAUGCUUGAAGCCUACCAAAGACUUGGGGUGCUCGGAAGUGUGACGGAUUCUCACACUGUUGAGUUUGAUGAGCAGCGCUGGAGAGAGCAAGUUUUCCCUGGAUAUUUGCAGAAGGCAUUAUCUGCCUCCUUAUGCCUUUGUCUGUCCCAUAUUGUGCUUCAGGAGGACAACAGACAUGUAUAUCCCACCCUUGGAAUGAUGAUCAGUGUUAUUUCUGUAAAAGACGCUGUAUAAUGCAGCUCUUCUGAGUGCAGCGAGGAGCAUAGAGGCAACCUGCUUCGCUACACAAUUCACAUCUCUCUUCGGAACAAUACAGCGACAAGUGUACUGAGACCGUAAGUUAGCCAAGCAGGCUUCAGAACAGACUGAGCAGUAAGGAAAGCAAGAAAAAGAUUCAGUUUGGAGAACACUGAAAAGUUUUCUCUCAAGUUAUUAAAACAUCCACCUUUUAAAAUUGUCAAAAUGCACCUCUGUCAUCCAUAUAAUGGAUAUUUACUUCUUUCCCUGCCUCUCUCCUGGUUCUCCGUAAGCACUAUUUCAGAACUGAAGAAUUGGUUCAAGGCUGCGCAGACUCUGGGCAUGUUUCUGCUUUAUCCCGUGUCCUAUUUUAAAGGCUCAAGAGGAAAUGAAAUGAAGUGGUAGACCAACCCAGCACAGAAGGUGAGUUUCAGUGAUGUUAAACAAUAACCAAUGUGGCCAGUAUGCCUUCAAGUAAUACAGACUGAAAUCCUGAGUCUAGAAAAUUAUCUUGGGUUGUGAAUUAAUAAUAUUCUGUAGCUUGUCAAACAGUAAUAACACAAAUACAGUAAUCUAACAACAAGAAUGAACUAGCUGCAGAAAUGUAUUUGCACUGAGUUGUUUAACUGAGAGAUGGAACUGAACCUGGAAAGGAGGGAAGAGCAUGAUGCACUUUCCUCUAGCAAAUCAUAGCUCAGAGCCAAUUCCAAUUCAAACAAGAACUGAGAAAACUAGAUUUAUUUUGAUGGAAAAUGAGGAGAGCAUAGGGUGACCUAAUAGGAAGCUAAGGCCAAAACAUGAACUAAUUAAAAAUAUGGGCUGAACUGUUUAUGAAAAAUGUUAUUAAAUACUAAGGGCUUUAUUUCAAGAGGAGGAAAAUGCAAAUGGUAAAAUAAAGGAAAAUAAUUUUGCUGGGGUAUAGAGAGAUGCUGGUCUUGUCAGAAUGUUUAAUUAUAAAGAGCUAAUGCUUCUGUUCUCUUUAGGGGAUGGAUUUGAGUAUGUAUUCCCUGUGCAGGAUAACACUCAAAGGUAUAGUUUAAAAAAAAAAAAGAAAAAGAAAAAAAGUAAGAGGAUUGUGAAGCAGGCAAAAUGUACUUUUUUUUUUUUUUUUUUUUUUGGUGGAUCACAUUUCUUUCAGGGAGUCAUCAUGGGCAUAUUGUGUAACUUCUGAGAAAUUCCUGACCUAGAUUUUUCUGUCUUGGGUGUUUUUAUUGUUGUUCAAGUGUUGUUUAGAUAAUGGUGAAAGUCUCUGUGCAACAUCCCAGAAGAGAAAAAGAAAAUCCCUGCAUACAGGGAGAAGAGUUUUGGGAAAAUCCUUGCGUGCUAUAGGGUUGAGAUCCUUAAAGCUCUUCUUGCCUCUGAGGAGAAGGAAGGGACAUGUAUGACUUCUACCAUCUCUUUUACAGCCCAGCCCUGGGGAUGGCUGAGGGAUAGUUCUAAUCCUCCACCCAAAGUAAACUACAAUAACUUUGAGGUUGUUCUGAUCUGCUAUAGCAAUGGAGUGGAAAGUACAGGAUCUCUGGGAUUCCUAGAGUACGCUCUUUUACCUGACAAACCAGAAACAAACAAUUGUGUGCUUUCUGGUGAUUUUUUUUUUUUUUUAGGCUAUCGGCAGAAAGAAUCUUUUUUUGGCCCCAAGGACAUGUGGUUCACUGGGCUUGUAAGCAAGGAAGGUGCAAGCCUUCUCUAGGGUUCUCCCCCACUCUCCCAAAGUUAAUGUUUUCAAUCUCAAAUUACUCAAUUAUUGUGCCCUUCUGUGUCUCAGACAGUGGAAUGCAACAUUAGCCCUAUGGUAUUCAGCUUCCUUUAAUUAAAUACAGUGGAACAAUAUGUUGUUAAUGAUAAGCAGACGUGAAGUUUUGUUUAACCACACGUCCAAUUGCUCACUGAAAGAGAUAAGAAAUCGCAACUAUAUUUCCUUUAAUUUAUUAGAUCUGUCAGAGUAAAAAUAACCUCUAAGAUAAGAUAAUGGCACUAUAAAUUUUGCUUCUUCAUUUAGAGAAUGAUUUAUGAUCCUUUCAUUUGCCAAAACAAUUUCUUUAGCGAUUGAGAUUCCAACUCUCCAGCAUUUCUCUAAAUUCUAAAUCUAGACAGAACUUUUAAACAUGAAGCACAGUAAUUGGCAUACAAUAUAAUGCCUCUUUUGCAGCUGUCUCAUUUUAAAUACAACUACUGAUUGAAAAUCUUAAAUUUCUUUAGUCACAGCUCAAAGGAAUAUGUUUUAGUUAUUUGAAGUAACCUAAAAAGCUGCUCUUUAGGACCUGACCCAGAGCCCAGUGAAGCCAGUUUUUCUAUUUAAUUCACUGGGGCUUGGAUUAAGCCCAUUUUGUUUAAUUAUCCCAACUACAGGCAAUGUUGAUUAGAUGAUACUGUGAUCUUGCUCUCCAAAAGAAGAAUUUUUGGCAAGAAUUCUUCCCUUGUUAAAAUCAGGUACUGCAGAAGUUGAGCAUCUCUAGGAUCCUGCUGUCUUUUUGUUGGGAUCACCAAUAGAGGGAAUGUUUAGAGGGAAUAUUUUCCUUUAAUUAGGACAUGAGUAUCACUCAUCAGGUCACCUUUUAGUGGUGGUGAGAUCUGUGAUUGCUUUGUAGUAGAAAAUAAUGGAACUCUCCCUGGGAUCAUUGUACCGAAUUUAAAAUACAGGAUAAAGUGACAGUGGAAAGACUAACUUACAUGAAGUGAAAUCAAAUGGCUGAAGAGACAUGUGUAGCUUGCAUUCUUGAGCUAUUAAUUUUUUUAACCUGAAAGAGUAAUGGGAGACUUAUUGUCCAUACCAAGAAAGGGGGGCUUGCUAUUGGUAAAAAUUGUAGAACCUUAAUAUAGAUGAUUCUUUAAAUUUUAUUAUGUUUUGGAAUAGAAAAUUGCUAAUGGAAAAUUUUAAUUUAAUAAAAUAAUUCAAAAACCUAUAAAAACACAUUUAUGGUAUUCUUUUAAUAUAAAACUGUCAAUAUAAACUUUUUCCCAUUUAAUACUGUGAAAGACAUGCUGUACUUCUAUUUACGUUUCAUCACAUUUACUCUUGAUUCAGAAAAUUGGGCAGAAUGUCAUGCAAAUUUCUAACACAUGGUAAUUUUGUGAUCUUGACAAUGAAGCUGCUCAAGGGUUGUGUUGUUUAUAACUUUAGAUUGAACUACAGUGUGUGAAAUGUGAAGCUUUUGUAAAAACUGAAGACGAGAAAUUACUGCAGUUCUCUGGAAUAAUUACAGUCAAAACUUUCUGGAACAUAAAUUAAGAAAACAAAAUCUUCAUCUUAUUUUCAUUCUCUCUUUCAAGCUGCAGAAAAAUGUAACAAGAAACUUCAUUAUUGGCCCCACUUUGCAUUUGUGCUUCAGAAUUAUGACAUUUAUUUGGGAGCACUCAUAAAUCUGUCAAGCCUCCACAACACACUGAGUGUUGUUGCCUUGGACUUCGGGCAGCUUCCAGAAAAGAGAGAACCACGAUUUGUUUGUUUUGUUUUGCUAUGUUGUUUUCCUUGCCAUCAGCUUCCAAUUGCUAAUAUGCCAGAGAGCUGAAGUCAUUUUAUUGUUUAUGAUUGUUUAUUUUUGGCCUUAUAAAAAGUUUAUAACUUUUACACACAUUCAAUAAUACUUAACCUCUGUUUUUAAGUAUUUUUUUAAAAAAAGUCAAAUACCAAACUGCCUUUCUUACUUAAAUGGCUUUAGGGUAUGGCCUUCAUCUUGGAUUGAUAGGAGAGUUUUUGUCAUUUAAAAUGCCAGAUUUAUGCUUUUCCUCUUCCAAAUAAAAGGUGCAUUUAAGUGUAGGCCUGUUUGGAAAGGCCUCAGAACUGAAACUUCUUCCACCUCUUGUGUGUGUCUAGCUGGUUUCAUUCUACUUUCGACAAAAACUGCUUCAUUGACCUCAACCUGUAUCUUUCUGUUCAAUAGUAGUUUCGCCGUUUUACUGAGAACUAAGGUGCAAUAGAAAGGGUUAGAGAUUCUUAUGUGUUGUUGAUGAUACUAGUUUGAUCGUUUCUGUGUAGUUGUUACCUGUCUAUCAAGCUGUGAUCUUGACUUACAAAGCAUAAUGUUUGUGUCAUGUAUCUGAGCCCCCCAUACACAGCAACCUCUAGAGUCAGGAAGGAGCAGUGCAGUAUAACACAGGAUUUCUGUAUAGCUUAACUGGAAGACAAACCUCUCCUUAGGGCAAAUUCAUUCUCUGUGUGGAAAUUAAAAAAGGCUCUUGAGUUUAUCCUGUACUUGAACUAUCUUGAAGCUAUAAUGGAUUCUCUUGUUCUUGCUGUGAAAGACAGAAGUAUUUCCAGUAACUGGCAAUACAGAUUUUUUCCAGAUGUGCAAGAAACUGCCUCAAGUUAAACUGACCUAAAUAGCAAGUGAUGAUUUUUACUUGUUCUUUUCAUUAUAUCAAAAUGACAAAGAGUUUCUACUUACCAAUUCCUCAUAGUUCGAUGGGUAUGUGUAAGUAUACGAAUAAGGAAACAGAAGCAGCUGGGAAUAGGAGUGAAUAGUGAGGUAUGCCUUGAUGGUAGAAAGAUGUUCACGAAUAAAAUCAGCCAAAGCCUUGGUCUCCUUUUCAGACUCAGGUGCACUGCCACAGUAAGUGGAAUCACAAGGUCUACUUGAGGCCCCAAUAGCUGGAAAGAAGGGUGAAUUUAAUGAAUAUUUAAUGAAAAAAAGGAUUGGUUGUUGGAAGAGUGGUGAUGUUACAUCACUUUCAUGGAUAAGCCUUGGAAAUUCUACUGAAUUCUACAGAAAAUGGCACACAUGCCAUUUCUGAGGAGAGAAUAUUUCAUUGCAUAGUUAAGACACUGGGCAGCAUGAUGUAGCGUUCGGGAAAUAUUUCCUAUAGGGCAGGCAUACUUGGAAGGACAUGACUAUUGAUGUAAAUCCCCCUAUUAUCUAAGUCAUUUGGCAUAUGAUUUACUUCAGUACUUCAACAAUCCUUUUCUUGCGUGUCUUCCCCAUUUCUAGGAUGCUCCCAGGAACCAGCCAAGUGGAACCAAUCAAGAGAAACCCCUCUCCCACCUAGUGAAACUAAUUUAAAAAAAAACUAAUGUUCACAGAAGUAGCCAUACUAAUGACCCUCGUAACCAAAGUCUGGUUUUUUUGCCCAGAAUUGCCCUAAGAAAUUGAACGUAAGCUUCUCCACAACACUAUACUGAUGAUUUUCACUGGAGCUUGAGAGGGACCAUCAUGCAGUGAAAAUCCAUACAUAAGUAUCUUGACUGUUGUACCUCUGAAUGGUAGUUUGCAGCUAUUGUUAGGAGACACUUACUGCACCACCCAGCAUCAAAAUUCCUGUUGGGAUCAGUACCAAUGCAGCUGCUGCCAGCAUUUUUAGAGCGUGUCUUUCUCCACAGGCGGUUCUGAAAUAGAAUGGUUAAGUGCAUAUCAAAAUUAAGAGGAAGUUCUAGCAGUUGACUUGAUCAGCAAUACUUUUGAGAAAUAAAAAUGUGCUUACGCUUGUCCAAGUGUAAACAUAGCCAUCAAUAUUAAGAACAGGCAGGAUGUAGAAGUCCAAUUUGUUGAGAAGAUUGGUCAUGACACUAUCUUCUCCAUAGGUCUCAACAGCCUAGUUGGAAAGAAGACAGUGCUGACACCUUCAUAGAAUCAAAACAAAGCACCUCUUGUAUGUAUUGAGAGGCCUGGGUAGAUCAGGAAUUAAGUGAUGUAGUGGUGCAAAGUGAUCCUGAUCACUUCACCAUGAGAGAUAGAAGCUGCUGCUAAAGAGCCAUCUCAUUCUGGUAGAUAAAUUACAUGGUAAAGUAGUGUUGAUUAUGAGCAGAGCAAUAAAUCACUGGAAAAAGAUUUCCACCUACUAGUUUCUUGUUUAGAGGCAGCAAAGUUCCUGUGCAUAUACUCUCUAUAUCUCCUGACCCUUUAAAGGUUUGGGUUUAAUUUAUGUGAAAAGGAAAAUCAUUGUUCCCAUUUCUGAUACCUGUUGUGCAGAGAAGUUUCUUCAGCAACCAAAACUGUAAAGAAUACUUGCAAAGAACAUCCUUACACACUUUUCCAGACACAUGCUUUGCAUAAUAUACGUAAGAACUCCUGCCAUAAACCUGUAUGUUGUGAUUCUUCAUGGCCUGCCACUUUGUGCACUUCACAGAUUUCAGUGAGCAUGCAAUGAUCACAGAAAUGUACUCUAAGAACUAUGGUGCACCCAUGUUUCCUUUACCCUACACAGAUGUAAAGGAUAGCACAGGGGGCAAUGCAAUGGAGAAAUGGUAUCUAUUGUCUUUUAGCUGAGAAUGGGAAAGGUUGGAUGUAGCAUCUGCAAAAGUCGAUUUUGACCACUAGAACUGAUGCUUCUUUCCAUUUUUUUGGGGGGGGGGGUGUUGCAUAUUCCUCUAAUUUUUGACUUUCAUGUCUAGAAGACAUCUCAGAUGAACUUCAGAUGACUCUCAGAGGACGGUGCUUUUAAAGCACUUCUGCCUAGCCACACUUGGAACCACUGUGCAAAGCCACUACUGGUGUCAGGUACAUCCAUGAAUUAAGCAGCCAGACAGAGAAAAUGUCAGCUGUAGUGACGUGAAUUGCUAAGAGAAAAAUGAUAACACAUACUGUCUGCAGCCUUAUUGGGAGAUAAUGAAAUCACAUUCCCAUUGACUCCACUGAGAUGCCACUUUCAAUUUCCACUGCUUCUUACACAAAACCGCAUGGCUGUCUGAGAAGACGGAGAUUACGCUUGCCAUCAAUUUCUGUGCCAGCAGGGCUCACUGAAAUACUUCAGCUUUCCUUUACUCAGGUUUUAAAUACAAGCUACUGCUUCUGUUUUUUAAAAAACUUCAAGCAGAAAUUCUUACAAAAUUUUAGACUCAGUUAGUGAGUUAUUCUGUGAAGGUGACUGAUUCCCACCACCAAGUUGAGGGGGAAUACACCUUCUCCUGUAGAGACAACCCUGCAGCAUUUAAUAACUCAUACCUGCUUAAUAGUGGUGGCAAGGAGCAAGAAAAUAGAAAGGAAGUAAAAUUGUUUCAUUUGAAGGCUGAAGUGUCCCAGCCUGAAGUGAAGCUAAUUUCACCACCUGUGAGUUCUUUUCAGAAUAUAUCAUUUCAUGUUUUAGAAACCAUUCUGUGCAACCUAAAGUGACAUCUCAAAGGGAUGUAUAUGGACAGUAUUCCUGUCUCCCUGAGUGGCAUGUAGAGAGAUGCAGCUCUUCUUCUCUUGCUUCCUCUUCUCUUGGGUACGUUUCCUUAGUGUAUGUUUCCUUUGCUUCACUGAAGGUAGGUUUCCAUCCUCUCAGUUGUCCCACCGAGCAAGCCUGACUGCCGCAAAUACAGAACCUGAAGCUGUGGGAACACAGCCUUUUUGGCACACAGUCCAUUGCCUUCUGAAGUUGCCCUCAGCUGCCUUAUUCCUUACACCUUAUGAUUAUGUAAAGAGUAUGACUUGAUUUAUAGUGUUGCUAGAGCUGUUUGCUUGUCUCCCACCUUUCUCUGACUACAGGUGAAAAGAGGAAUCUACAGAUUGCAUAAGUAACCCGUUUAGUUGUCAGUACCUCUUACACAAGCUGAAGAAGUCUUAAACUUCUCAGAUUAAAGGGCCAGCCAUUAAGACAUGUUUUAAGUUGUUAUGCCCUAACCAUCUGACGUGAGAGAAGAGACAUGCAGCCAUGUAUUUAGAGGAAAAAAGGCAGUUUGCAGUGGCUUCAGCCCUUGACUCUCACUUAAGAGUCUCUUAAAUGGUUGCAUUUUGUAAAAUAUUUUGCUUACUGACUUCUUUCACAAACCACUGGCAGAAAGCAGGGGAGAUCCACUCUCUUGCAUGGAAACCACAAUCCAUAAAGAUGGCCGCCUUAUUUGUACCACUUUUUCCCACCUAGGGAAAACAACAACAACAAAAAAAAAGGUCUUGAACAAAAUAAUUUGUUUGUAGAACAAGUCAGAUUGUUGACCUAAAGUGUAAAACUUUAGUAUGGCAUUUGUUGAUUAAAUGGAAAUCUGUGGACUACUCUCAGCUGUAGCUGAUCAUGAUGUUUCAUCUAAAACCAUACAAUGCUAAUAAUUUUGUUUUUAUUAAUGCAGUUUGAUUAUUUGAUUAUUGAUUAUUCUGCACCCUUGAUAUAUUUCCAGUAGUGGCUCUAAUUGUUGAUCUUGUUUCAUUGGAUGCUAGAUUAUAGUAAAUGCUUCUGCAAUUUUGGGCAAGUAA